This 202-nucleotide unclassified non-coding RNA is filed under the name Hevea brasiliensis (rubber tree). The record is from RNAcentral. Lineage: Eukaryota; Viridiplantae; Streptophyta; Magnoliopsida; Malpighiales; Euphorbiaceae.
AGAGAGAGAGAGAGAGAGAGCACCUUUAAUUUCACUUAGCUUCUCCCAAGCUUGCUCUUCCCCGACACAACAAAACCAAUAAAUAGGUACUUUUUCCCUCCCCUCCUAAAACCCACAUUUGUUAACCAACCAUACACAGCCCAACAAUCAGCAUUUGCGGCAAAGAAAAAUGAAUAAAGAGAAAAGAAGAGCAAAGAUCAAA